GACGGGGGAUGCAAGUGUUAUCCGGAAUCACUGGGCGUAAAGCGUCUGCAGGUGGUUUCCUAAGUCCACUGUUAAACCUUGAGGCUCAACCUCAAAUCUGCAUUGGAAACUAGGAGACUUGAGUAUAGUAGGGGUAGAGGGAAUUUCCAGUGGAGCGGUGAAAUGCGUAGAUAUUAGAAAGAACACCGAUGGCGAAGGCACUCUACUGGGCUAUUACUGACACUCAGAGACGAAAGCUAGGGGAGCAAAUGGG
RNAcentral lists this ribosomal RNA (253 nucleotides) under uncultured bacterium. Its description in RNAcentral is "partial 16S ribosomal RNA". It matches the Rfam family "Bacterial small subunit ribosomal RNA", at positions 524 to 776 of the family's 1533-position model. The record is from RNAcentral.